CAGAUUGUAACGUAAUUGGUAACGUGCUCGCAUUGGGUGCGAGAUCUUGAAGGUUCAAGUCCUUCCAAUCUGA
RNAcentral lists this transfer RNA (73 nucleotides) under Zhuliangozyma blackwelliae. Its description in RNAcentral is "Candida blackwelliae tRNA-Pro". It matches the Rfam family "tRNA". Rfam says of the family: Transfer RNA (tRNA) molecules are approximately 80 nucleotides in length. Their secondary structure includes four short double-helical elements and three loops (D, anti-codon, and T loops). Lineage: Eukaryota; Fungi; Ascomycota; Pichiomycetes; Serinales; Debaryomycetaceae. The record is from RNAcentral.